AGCCUUGUGGCCUAAAGGGUAAGGCAUCUAACUUUGGCUCAGAAGAUUGCAGGUUCGAGUCCUGCUGGGGUUG
This 73-nucleotide transfer RNA is filed under the name Pangasianodon hypophthalmus (striped catfish). It matches the Rfam family "tRNA". From Rfam's summary of the family: Transfer RNA (tRNA) molecules are approximately 80 nucleotides in length. Their secondary structure includes four short double-helical elements and three loops (D, anti-codon, and T loops). Lineage: Eukaryota; Metazoa; Chordata; Actinopteri; Siluriformes; Pangasiidae. The record is from Rfam by way of RNAcentral.